Molecule: unclassified non-coding RNA, 221 nt
Filed under: Hevea brasiliensis (rubber tree)
Lineage: Eukaryota; Viridiplantae; Streptophyta; Magnoliopsida; Malpighiales; Euphorbiaceae
Source: RNAcentral
UUAACAAUUACCAACUAAACUACAUAAUUCCUACCUAAUCACAUACUUAAUUAUUACCAAUUAAACAACAUAAUUCAUCACUACUAAACUCCAUACUUAUUACCUACUAAUUACAUAAUUCAUAUCUACUCAACUCUUUAAAUAUUACCUCCUAAAAUCCCUAUUCGAUCGCCACCUACCGAAAACCAACCCCAACUAAUCCAAAAUAUUCAAAAAAAAAA